Molecule: ribosomal RNA, 455 nt
Filed under: Fannyhessea vaginae
Lineage: Bacteria; Bacillati; Actinomycetota; Coriobacteriia; Coriobacteriales; Atopobiaceae
Description: bacterial SSU rRNA
Rfam family: Bacterial small subunit ribosomal RNA
Source: RNAcentral
GAUGAACGCUGGCGGCGCGCCUAACACAUGCAAGUCGAACGGUUAAAGCAUCUUCGGAUGUGUAUAAAGUGGCGAACGGCUGAGUAACACGCGGGCAACCUGCCCUUUGCACUGGGAUAGCCUCGGGAAACCGAGGUUAAUACCGGAUACUCCAUAUUUGUCGCAUGGCGAAUAUGGGAAAGCUCCGGCGGCAAAGGAUGGGCCCGCGGCCUGUUAGCUAGUUGGUGGGGUAGUGGCCUACCAAGGCAAUGAUGGGUAGCCGGGUUGAGAGACCGACCGGCCAGAUUGGGACUGAGACACGGCCCAGACUCCUACGGGAGGCAGCAGUGGGGAAUCUUGCACAAUGGGCGAAAGCCUGAUGCAGCGACGCCGCGUGCGGGAUGAAGGCCUUCGGGUUGUAAACCGCUUUCAGCAGGGACGAGGCCGCAAGGUGACGGUACCUGCAGAAGAAGCCC